RNAcentral lists this ribosomal RNA (253 nucleotides) under uncultured bacterium. RNAcentral describes it as "partial 16S ribosomal RNA". It matches the Rfam family "Bacterial small subunit ribosomal RNA", at positions 524 to 776 of the family's 1533-position model. The record is from RNAcentral.
UACGUAGGGUGCGAGCGUUAAUCGGAAUUACUGGGCGUAAAGCGUGCGUAGGCGGUUCGUUAUGUCUGCUGUGAAAGCCCCGGGCUUAACCUGGGAAUGGCAGUGGAAACUGGCGGGCUUGAGUGUGGCAGAGGGGGGUGGAAUUCCGCGUGUAACAGUGAAAUGCGUAGAGAUGCGGAGGAACACCGAUGGCGAAGGCAGCCCCCUGGGCUGACACUGACGCUGAGGCACGAAAGCGUGGGGAGCAAACAGG